GGCGAACGCUGGCGGCAGGCCUAACACAUGCAAGUCGAGCGCCCCGCAAGGGGAGCGGCAGACGGGAGAGUAACACGUGGGAACGUACCCUUCAGUUCGGAACAACCCAGGGAAACUUGGGCUAAUACCGAAUACGUCCGUAAGGAGAAAGAUUUAUCGCUGAAGGAUCGGCCCGCGUCCGAUUAGCUAGUUGGUGAGGUAACGGCUCACCAAGGCGACGAUCGGUAGCUGGUCUGAGAGGAUGAUCAGCCUCACUGGGACUGAGACACGGCCCAGACUCCUACGGGAGGCAGCAGUGGGGAAUAUUGGACAAUGGGCGCAAGCCUGAUCCAGCCAUGCCGCGUGGAUGAUGAAGGCCCUAGGGUUGUAAAGUCCUUUCGGCGGGGAAGAUAAUGACGGUACCCGCAGAAGAAGCCCCGGCUAACUUCGUGCCAGCAGCCGCAGUAA
RNAcentral lists this ribosomal RNA (447 nucleotides) under uncultured bacterium. RNAcentral describes it as "partial 16S ribosomal RNA". It matches the Rfam family "Bacterial small subunit ribosomal RNA", at positions 28 to 523 of the family's 1533-position model. The record is from RNAcentral.